UUUCCGUAGGUGAACCUGCGGAAGGAUCAUUACAGAGUUCAUGCCCUCACGGGUAGAUCUCCCACCCUUGAAUAUUUAUACCUUAGUUGCUUUGGCAGGCCGUGGAAACACCAUGGGCUCCGGCUUAUGCGUGCCUGCCAGAGGAAACAAACUCUGUUUUUAGUAAUGUCUGAGUACUAUAUAAUAGUUAAAACUUUCAACAACGGAUCUCUUGGUUCUG
This 220-nucleotide unclassified non-coding RNA is filed under the name plant metagenome. RNAcentral's name for it is "partial contains small subunit ribosomal RNA, internal transcribed spacer 1, and 5.8S ribosomal RNA". The record is from RNAcentral.